Molecule: non-coding RNA, 248 nt
Organism: Gasterosteus aculeatus aculeatus (three-spined stickleback)
Lineage: Eukaryota; Metazoa; Chordata; Actinopteri; Perciformes; Gasterosteidae
Source: RefSeq, a predicted model, not a curated record
UCUGAAGCCCCUCUGUGUGGGGAACAUGACAGCCAGACCAAAGCUCAGAGGAUCCAUCAGAGACUAGGACCUGGACCCGCAUCUGGAUAUGAACCUGAUCCUGGACCUGGUCCUGAACCCAGCUGUGUGUCCAUGAAGAGUAACCGGUCUAUGGAUCGUCCUGUAAAAUUCAGAGAUGGCCGCCCGUCUGUUGAUGCAAGUUCACAUCAGCAGAGAGGAAAGUCUCCUGAACCCAGAUGUGUGUCCAU